RNAcentral lists this long non-coding RNA (356 nucleotides) under Phaseolus vulgaris (common bean). RNAcentral's name for it is "long non-coding RNA (PVUL_LNC001909)". The record is from RNAcentral. Lineage: Eukaryota; Viridiplantae; Streptophyta; Magnoliopsida; Fabales; Fabaceae.
AAAAUGCUAAUAAAAUUCUUAUUGAUUGAGGUGAACUUCAAUUAAAGAGUCAACCAAAACAAUAUAAAGAAGGAAAAAAAUGGAGUAGGAGGUCCUUAUCAAUCAAACGCUUGAGUCAAGUGGAUAAACGCAAAUUAUAGAAAUAAAAGGGAAAAACAAAGAGCGACCUAACGUAGAUACCAAAAGUCAUAAACCAAACUUGGAAGGUGUAAACCACAACAUCACGUUCAAAAAGAACUCUCUGUAACCUCUAAAAGUCACCAAGAAAAUGGAUGCAAAAGAACGACAUUGUAUGUGAAACGAUGUUGCAUCUGUACCAUAUAUAGAUAGAUAGAGACGACUUCUUUCUAUGGACA